This 452-nucleotide ribosomal RNA is filed under the name uncultured bacterium. RNAcentral describes it as "bacterial SSU rRNA". It matches the Rfam family "Bacterial small subunit ribosomal RNA", at positions 340 to 786 of the family's 1533-position model. The record is from RNAcentral.
UACGGGAGGCAGCAGUGGGGAAUAUUGCACAAUGGGCGCAAGCCUGAUGCAGCCAUGCCGCGUGUAUGAAGAAGGCCUUCGGGUUGUAAAGUACUUUCAGUCGUGAGGAAGGUGUUAAGGUUAAUAACCUUAGCAAUUGACGUUAGCGACAGAAGAAGCACCGGCUAACUCCGUGCCAGCAGCCGCGGUAAUACGGAGGGUGCGAGCGUUAAUCGGAAUUACUGGGCUAAAGGGCACGCAGGCGGUUAAUUAAGUUGGAUGUGAAAUCCCCGGGCUUAACCUGGGAAUGGCAUUCAAGACUGGUUAGCUAGAGUCUUGUAGAGGGGGUAGAAUUCCAUGUGUAGCGGUGAAAUGCGUAGAGAUGUGGAGGAAUACCGGUGGCGAAGGCGGCCCCUGGGACAAAGACUGACGCUCAUGUGCGAAAGCGUGGGGAGCAAACAGGAUUAGAUACC